UGAAUUAUUUAUGAGCCUCAUCCUUCUGC
Molecule: non-coding RNA, 29 nt
Filed under: Mus musculus (house mouse)
Lineage: Eukaryota; Metazoa; Chordata; Mammalia; Rodentia; Muridae
Source: RNAcentral